RNAcentral lists this long non-coding RNA (4011 nucleotides) under Capsella grandiflora. RNAcentral describes it as "long non-coding RNA (CGRA_LNC001282)". Lineage: Eukaryota; Viridiplantae; Streptophyta; Magnoliopsida; Brassicales; Brassicaceae. The record is from RNAcentral.
AUACUAGAGCCAUGGUCAGCAAAAACCUGCACACAAAGUAUGCCAAAAUCUAGCUUCUAGUUAUAUGUUGCUUUUGCUUGUGAACACUGUCUAAGUUGGCUUCACUUUUUUUAGGAAUAGUUUACCUCAUUGGUCUGGAAGUAGGUGCCAUUCAGUGGGAAGCCUCCUCUCAUUGCUGUCCUGCAAGGUAUCUGUUCACAAACAAGUAAGUCAUUCCUCAUAUUUUUGCUACUUAACAGAGAGAUUCUCUUGAAAAUAAUAGCUUACCAAGAUAGUUCCUCGCACUAUUUGUGAUUGCUCUUCCCGUAUCUUGUUGCAUUCGAAACAUUUCUUUUCAUGACACAAUGUACUGUUGUCUCCUUGGAAUUCACAUCUUUGUUUAGGCAGUUGAAUGGAAUUUUCAGUUUCACCUGGUAUGGCAAAUACAUGUUAGGCAUCAUCUAUAUACAUCUAAGGCUGAAAAGUGAAAACCCUUAAAUUUGUAGCACUAGCUUUUUAAUGUUUGAUCCUUGGAACAGAAUAAUCAUGGUCAGUUCUUUUUGUGUUUACCUGGAGUCCAAAUGGCUAACAGAUAGGGAACUAUAUCCUCAUCUUCUCGCCUCUCAAACUGUUAACAAUUUUUUUUUAAUCAAACAAGCAGUUUUUAAGACUUUGAGAAGUCGAAAUUUUCUUGCAAGAGUUACUAACCCCUUGUAGAAUGAAAUGGUAGUCAGGGAGCUCGUAGCUGUAAUAAAAGAAGGAAAUAAAAGUUAAAAAGAGAAUUAGUAUGAGACAAAUGCUGAUUAAGUUCCCUGAUGAAAAGACAGAUUUGAAAGAGGCAACUCACACAAGGUGCUCUGUACGUAGCUUUUCCAUGAUCUUGAGUUUACGUGUAGGUAUUGCUGCUGCUUGUGUGCUUAGUACCACCAAAUCCGUUGAUGUAACUGCUUCCUUGUUGAGCAUGAUUGUAGGAAUUAUAUCCUUAUCUUCCCAAGGAUCAUUUUCCAAGAUCGUAGACAUUGCAACGUUGUUAUUGUCCCAAGGAUAAUCCUCAAUGUCUGGCAUUGUAUAUUCUGGUUCUGGUGAUGCCGGUUCUUCGAUGAUCGGUUCGCAUCUUUGCGCUUCUUGCUCGUUUUCUUGAGAAAACAAUAAGGAUGGCCGAAAAUUAACUACAAAGGGAUUUCUUUUAUACCUUCUCUCAUAGAGCAUUACAGUUGUUCUAUCGCUCACUUCCGGUUCUGGUAGAGCAAGACGUGCCCUGCGAUAUAAGAAAAUACGAUACUUAGAAAAAUUGUCAACAUCUCUUUCUGGUUAAGCUAGAGUUGAUGCACAUAAUAAUUUUUCAAUGCGCCUAUGAAUGAAUAUACUGGAACUAAUUCAGUGACCGUAGCAUUUUGUAGGUAUAACCUUUGUGCACUAGCGUAGUGUCGGCACUCCGCCUUCAUUGGACAUGCUUUGCAAUUGGGUUUUAAUUUGGUGCAAAAUACCUGUAGAAACGGACAAGUCAGUUUAAGACCGUUAACAUAAGAAGUUUUGUGAAAAUUAACUGAAACACAUGAGAAUCUGUUUGUGUUUGAGGUACCUUUCCGAAUGUGAUCAUGUGGUAAUGCAGCUCGUACCUAGAAUUGUAUAAUACAGUAGAGAGUUAUUCAGUGAAGUUGAGGGAUCUAGAGUAAUGGUAUAGAAGUUAUACAAAAGAAAGGUUUAACACUUACAAGGUUUUUUGGUCAAGCUUGCAGAGGCGUGGCCAGAGAUACUUUUGAACUGAAUUCAAUACAGGGUACCUGAAUAAAAUAAAAGACCAAGGGGCUUACGCUUAUUGAAAUUUAUCAUGUUUCCUUUCAUUUUUGAAGAAAGAUCUUUUAGAGAAUUUACUUACAGCUCUAAAAGGUGCAUUUGCAGCUGGUCAGGUAGUGGCUGUAAAGGAACCCACCCUAGUCUCACAGCUAUGCGUCCAACGUUGGUGUCAACCUGCAUUUUGCAGAUAUGUUAAUAUCUCUAUUGCACAUUCCAUUAAGGGUAGAUUACUCUUCAUUAACUUACAGGGAAUGCAAUCUGGUGUAGUGACAAAAGUCUAACACACUCCACACUUUUCAAUCCUAAUCCGUUUAUGCUUAGUAGAUACUCCCUGCAACCAUUAGUAGUCACACGUGUCAUUUUAGUUCACCCAUGAAUGCUUUUGAACCAUAUAUAGGAUAUAUAUAUUGUAUGACAUCAAGUUUUGUAAAUAAUUUUCUUACUUGGCUUUGUCAGGGGGAACAUCUCUUAGCCACUCCAAGUCAAUGCUUCCAUGUUCUUCAACCAGUCUAUUUAGGAAGUCCUGUCCAAAAUAUACUUGUUAGAUUGUAUAUUUCAGAUAUAUAGCACAAAAAAAUUCUUAUUGAAUUAGUCAAACCUUGAUUCUCUUAGCAAGCAUGUUGUUCAUUCCUCUUUUUAUGAUUAUAGCAGCGAUCUUGUUGACGCUAGAACCCCGAAGUGCAUCCCAAUCAACUGUGUCCAGCGUUCUUUCUGUUCUCUCUCUCUUUUUGCCACCACUUUCUACUUGCUUUCUCAAACUAUCCCAGUCAAAGCUGUCUUCCAGCUUGCUCUUUGCUGGUUUCUUUGAUUCUUUCACCUUGUUUUUGGGUGGUCGACCUACUGGUCUGGAAGUAGUUGGUUUCUUCUUCUCCUUGUUCUUCACAACCUCCUUUCUUGUGUUCUUUUCCUGGUCUUGUGCCUGAAGGGUACUGUCCAGUUCUUGUUGAUGGCUCGACAUAUGUUGAACCUGAAUUUCUUCAUAGAAUUUGUUUGUGAGUGCAUCAACAUCACAGUUCUCUACUUCAUGUGGUACUUCAUUUAGGUUCAGUUCACAGUGAGAAGAAGUAGACGUGCCCGCAAAUGGAUCCAGCAGCGUCAUUGUUGACUGAUUUGUAGAGCUCAUGGAAGUGUCACUGGUUUUAGAGGAUUCAUGAGCACAAACAGCAUCAGUACCGUCCUCAUCAUCAUCAUCAUCAUCAAUCUCCUCUAUGAUGACACAAGUUGGCUUGCGAAUUCUUGGAUUUGAAGUUGCUGAACUUCCCCACUCUUCAAGAGAUGAUCUCUUGUUGAAGUUCCAGUUGACAGGAAACUCAGCGGCAAGAUCCAUAUAUGCAGAACUGCAAAAGUGAAGAAGUUAAUAAUUUGAAAACCAUUCAUGUUGCUUAAAUCCUCUGUUUAUUACAAAUCGUUUGAACGCAUUACCUUGAUGAAUGAUCUGCAACAUUCUGGGUGAGGAAAACUCCCACUACUGAAUCCACAACAGAUCCUUUCCAACGUGAGAAAGUCCUAUCCCCUGCAGUAAUAGGUUUGCUUUUAGACCAUUUUGCAUUGUAUACAAUAAAUAAUGAGCUAAGAUUUAAAACUCAAGUCACGAAGCAAUGCCGAAGUUAAAAUCAAUAAAAUAGUACCUUGCACUAUACUCAUUCUAGCAAUGAACGAGUUUGCUCUCUCAUGGAACACGUUUCUCUCAUCUUUCCACCAUUUGCGUUUGUCCUCAUCCAAUCCGUCAACACCGUCGUUGUUGAUACUCGACAUCAAGAGUUUAAAUACUCGAUUUGUCUCGGGAUCUAUAUCUACUUUUGGUAGCUGCUUCUUGCUAUAUUUUAUCAGUUCGCGUUGCUCUUCAUAUAAGUUUUGGUAUAGAACAAGUGCACUUUCUUGAAACUUCUUGUUGAUAUCCAGCUCUUGAAGCUUCUUAGUGACGGAAUCGAGUUCCAUACUUCUAAUCCACAUCUCAGCAAAUGAUGUAACUGCAUUUUGUAAUAAUGAUUCAAAAGUUAGAAAUCUAGUAUCUAUUUGAUAUGAAAAUGCAUUUGCAUGUUCAGCUUGUGUGUUGCCAAACCUUUUGGUUUUGGACUUUGCCACUCUCUGUGUAGUAUCCUUGCAUUGAGUUGGCUUGCUAAAGGAUCUCUUUGUCUCCGCUUCUUCCUAGGCACUUUUGGUUGUAUCUCCGAGACAUUAAGCAGCGGAAGACUGCACUUGCUUGGUACAAUACUUUCUAAAAGUUUCGCCAGU